CUCAACCGAACACAAACGGAUCUGUGUUUGGCGAUCCUGGUCGUAAGUGCGACUUCCCCUCUGGGAUUUUCGUCUUUUGCGUAUCGGUUGAUUGCUGGACAGUUCGACGACCACGGAGGCACCGCUGUUCCUACGUCUGGUGUCAGAAAUUUUCCGGUCGACAGAUCUCAGAUCAAAUGUUGGCACAAGGUGUUCACUCUAGUCUUGAGCUCCCCUUUGUUCUCGGACGAUUGGUGAGCUCGGCUGGAGAGCCUUGUGUCAGCGGCGUCAUAUUCCUGUUCCCUUUACCGAUCAUGGCCGUCGGCCGAUGAGGUUAGGGAUAAACCAUGACUGGCCAACAUCA
Molecule: small RNA, 343 nt
Filed under: Aspergillus ustus
Lineage: Eukaryota; Fungi; Ascomycota; Eurotiomycetes; Eurotiales; Aspergillaceae
Description: A. fumigatus sRNA Afu_309
Rfam family: A. fumigatus sRNA Afu_309
Source: Rfam by way of RNAcentral